GAUGAAGAACGCAGCGAAAUGCGAAAGUAAUGUGAAUUGCAGAAUUCAGUGAAUCAUCGAAUCUUUGAACGCACAUUGCGCCCGCCAGCAUUCUGGCGGGCAUGCCUGUUCGAGCGUCAUUUCAACCCUCGAGCCCCCCCGGGGGCCUCGGUGUUGGGGGACGGCACACCAGCCGCCCCCGAAAUGCAGUGGCGACCCCGCCGCAGCCUCCCCUGCGUAGUAGCACACACCUCGCACCGGAGCGCGGAGGCGGUCACGCCGUAAAACGCCCAACUUUCUUAGAGUUGACCUCGGAUCAGGUAGGAAUACCCGCUGAACUUAAGCAUAUCAAUAAGCGGAGGA
RNAcentral lists this unclassified non-coding RNA (342 nucleotides) under soil metagenome. Its description in RNAcentral is "partial contains 5.8S ribosomal RNA, internal transcribed spacer 2, and large subunit ribosomal RNA". The stretch from base 1 to 119 matches the Rfam family "5.8S ribosomal RNA", at positions 35 to 154 of the family's 154-position model. The record is from RNAcentral.